UACGUAGGGUGCAAGCGUUGUCCGGAAUUAUUGGGCGUAAAGAGCUCGUAGGCGGUUUGUCACGUCGGAUGUGAAAUCCCGGGGCUUAACCUCGGGUCUGCAUUCGAUACGGGCUGACUAGAGUUCGGUAGGGGAGACUGGAAUUCCUGGUGUAGCGGUGAAAUGCGCAGAUAUCAGGAGGAACACCGGUGGCGAAGGCGGCAUCCUGGACCGGCAUUGACGCUGAGGCGCGAAAGCCAGGGGAGCAAGCGGG
RNAcentral lists this ribosomal RNA (253 nucleotides) under uncultured bacterium. RNAcentral's name for it is "partial 16S ribosomal RNA". It matches the Rfam family "Bacterial small subunit ribosomal RNA", at positions 524 to 776 of the family's 1533-position model. The record is from RNAcentral.